CAACAUUGAACUGAGACUGCCCAGACUCCUACGGAGGCUGCAGUCGAGAAUCUUCGCAUGGGCGCAGCUGACGAAGCGACGCGUGUGUGUGAUGAAGUUUAGGAUCGUAAAGCACUUCGCCUGUGAGCAAGAAUCUUCUUCUAAUAAAAGAAAAAUUUGAGAGUAGCAGGUAAAGAAGCGCCGGCCAACUACGUGCCAGCAGCUGCGGUAAUACGUAGGGCGCAAGCAUUAAUCGGAUUUAUUGGGUGUAAAGGGUGCGUAGGCUGCUGAGUAAGUUGGAUGUGAAAUUCCGGAGUUCAUCUUCGGACUGCAUUCAAAACUGCUCAGCUAGAGUAUAAGAGGGGAAAGCGGAAUUCCACAAGUAGCGGUGAAAUGCGUAGAUAUGUGGAGGAACACCGGUGGCGAAGGCGGCUUUCUGGAUUAUUACUGACGCUGAGGCACGAAAGCAUGGGGAGCAAACAGGAUUAGAUACCCUGGUAGUCCAUGCCGUAAACGAUGCACACUUGAUGUAGUCGGUCUCAACCCCGGCUGUGUCGAAGCUAACGCGAUAAGUGUGCCACCUGGGGAGUACGCUCGCAAGGGUGAAACUCAAAAGAAUUGACGGGGACCCGCACAAGCAGUGGAGCAUGUGGUUUAAUUCGAUGCAACGCGAAGAACCUUACCUGGGCUUGACAUGCAGAGGACUGGGGCAGAAAUGCUCAGUUCCGAAAGGACCUCUGUACAGGUGCUGCAUGGCUGUCGUCAGCUCGUGCCGUGAGGUGUUGGGUUAAGUCCCGCAACGAGCGCAACCCUUAUUGCUAAUUGCCAUCAGGUAAAGCUGGGCACUUUAGUGAGACUGCCUGAGUCGAUCAGGAGGAAGGUGAGGAUGACGUCAAGUCCGCAUGGCCCUUAUGUCCAGGGCUACACACGUGCUACAAUGGCCAGUACAAAAGGUUGCGAAGCCGCAAGGCGUAGCUAAUCCCCAAAACUGGUCUCAGUUCGGAUUGCAGUCUGCAACUCGGCUGCAUGAAGUUGGAAUUGCUAGUAAUGGCGUGUCAGCAACAGCGCCGUGAAUACGUUCCCGGGUCUUGUACACACCGCCCGUCACACCACGGAAGUUGCUCUUGCCCGAAGUCGCUGACCCAACCCGCAAGGGAGGGAGUGCCGAAA
RNAcentral lists this ribosomal RNA (1149 nucleotides) under uncultured bacterium. RNAcentral describes it as "bacterial SSU rRNA". It matches the Rfam family "Bacterial small subunit ribosomal RNA", at positions 308 to 1461 of the family's 1533-position model. The record is from RNAcentral.